ACAAAUCGUUCGGUUUUACUCCUCCUCCCAAAAAACCGGACAUGAGCGCGGUACUCCUCCUCCCAAACCGCGCUUUCAGUUUAAGCCCGCAGCGCCCCGCGCAGCGGGCUUUUCUG
Molecule: small RNA, 116 nt
Filed under: Brucella daejeonensis
Lineage: Bacteria; Pseudomonadati; Pseudomonadota; Alphaproteobacteria; Hyphomicrobiales; Brucellaceae
Description: Ochrobactrum daejeonense ar14
Rfam family: Alphaproteobacterial ar14
About the family: Smr14C2 was renamed NfeR1 (Nodule Formation Efficiency RNA) highly expressed in salt stress and during the symbiotic interaction on legume roots.
Source: RNAcentral